CCUACGGGUGGCAGCAGUGGGGAAUAUUGCACAAUGGGGGAAACCCUGAUGCAGCGACGCCGCGUGAGCGAUGAAGUAUUUCGGUAUGUAAAGCUCUAUCAGCAGGGAAGAAAAUGACGGUACCUGACUAAGAAGCCCCGGCGAACUACGUGCCAGCAGCCGCGGUAAUACGGAGGGGGCAAGCGUUCUCCGGAUUUACUGGGUGUAAAGGGAGCGUAGGCGGUCCGGCAAGCCAGAUGUGAAAGCCCGGGGCUCAACCCCGGGACGGCAUUUGGAAAUGUAAGGCUAGAGUGUGGGAGAGGUAGGCGGAAGUCCUAGUGGAGCGGUGAAAUGCGUAGAUAUUAGGAGGAACACCAGUGGCGAAGGCGGCCUGCUGGACGAUGACUGACGUUGAGGCUCGAAAGCGUGGGGAGCAAACAGGAUUAGAUACCCGGGUAGUC
This 440-nucleotide ribosomal RNA is filed under the name uncultured bacterium. RNAcentral's name for it is "partial 16S ribosomal RNA". It matches the Rfam family "Bacterial small subunit ribosomal RNA", at positions 338 to 795 of the family's 1533-position model. The record is from RNAcentral.